This 440-nucleotide ribosomal RNA is filed under the name uncultured bacterium. RNAcentral describes it as "partial 16S ribosomal RNA". It matches the Rfam family "Bacterial small subunit ribosomal RNA", at positions 338 to 795 of the family's 1533-position model. The record is from RNAcentral.
CCUACGGGUGGCAGCAGUGGGGAAUAUUGCACAAUGGGGGAAACCCUGAUGCAGCGACGCCGCGUGAAUGAAGAAGUAUUUCUGUAUGUAAAGCUCUAUCAGCAGGGAAGAAAAUGACGGUACCUGACUAAGAAGCUCCGGCUAACUACGUGCCAGCAGCCGCGGUAAUACGUAGGGAGCAAGCGUUAUCCGGAUUUACUGGGUGUAAAGGGAGCGUAGACGGCCAGACAAGUCAGAAGUGAAAGCCCAGGGCUCAAACCUGGGACUGCUUUUGAAACUGCCGGGCUGGAGUGCAGGAGAGGUAGGCGGAAUUCGUGGUGUAGCGGUGAAAUGCGUAGAUAUUAGGAAGAACACCAGUGGCGAAGGCAGCUUACUGGACUGUAACUGACGUUGAGGCUCGAAAGUGUGGGGAGCAAACAGGAUUAGAUACCCUGGUAGUC